Non-coding RNA from Pelobates cultripes (western spadefoot toad), 499 nucleotides. Lineage: Eukaryota; Metazoa; Chordata; Amphibia; Anura; Pelobatidae. The record is from the annotation of a GenBank genome assembly.
GGCCCUCUCCGCUUCCCCACCUAUCCUGACAGGCUGCCUGCAGCCCGCUGGAUCCUCCGGGCUGAGUCUCUGGGGAGGCCUCGUCCUUCCUCACUGGCCUCACCAUUGGUCCUCCCGCUGGUCCCAGCUGGUCCCCGGAUCCACCGCUGGCUUCAUGCUGCCUCUACAGGUAAGACAAAAAGGGGGGGAGGAGAGCCACACAAAGAGGGAGCAGAGAACACACACAGAACCAACACACAGAGCACACACACAGAACUCACACACAGAACCCACAUAUACAGAGGACAAAUAUACCAGGAGAAAGAGAGACAGAAAGGAACCAAGGGGGACAGCACAGAAGACAGAUACAGAACAAAAGAGACAGAUUGACAGAUUUACCCAUAAAAUGGCUGCCGUGUAAUGGUCCCUAGCCCCUUAAACACUUCACCCCCCAUAACGUUCCACCCCCUCACCCUCUCUACCAAUCCCUACUGUCUUGCUCAGUACAAGCUGUCAAGGC